Molecule: non-coding RNA, 911 nt
Organism: Arachis ipaensis
Lineage: Eukaryota; Viridiplantae; Streptophyta; Magnoliopsida; Fabales; Fabaceae
Source: RefSeq, a predicted model, not a curated record
AGUUGGCACCAGCAAGGGAAAGACUUCCUCUUUCGAUGUCGCAGAGAAGAGAAGAACAAAAUAACGGUGAAAAAACAAAGAACGACGGAAGAAGGAGAAGAGGGUGGACGACAGGCACGGUCAUAGGGAAGGAUGCUAGAUCGACAGAGAAAAGAAGAGAAAUGAGGCGAUGGCGGUGAUGGAUGCCACCGCCGUUGUUGGAUCCGUAGAACCGUGUCCAUUUACCUAUCAAGCGGCAUUCUGCAGAGUGAUCAAUUUGAGAGAUGGUGUCGAGUUUUGGAUGGAUUAAAUUGAAAAAGCUAAAUCAGCUCUGGCUAAGGAUGAUGCUGAGCUUUUAAAAUUGAAAAAAAGAAGAAAGCACACUUAAAGAUAUUGUGCAACAGCUAAGCGGUAUCCUUUUUUUUUCAUGCUGCUCAUGACUGAUUCUGAACUUGAAUGUAAUGAAAAACGGCUGCCAGAUGCACCAGACAGGACACCAGCUGCCAAUAUUGAAGGUGACUGAAGCAUUGCAUUUUUAGGCACUGUCUAAGUCUCUAAGACAUUAACUGUAGACGAACUGUUUUAUUUAAAGGAGGAGUUUACACUUUUGAAGCCAAACAAAAAUGGAACGAUUUCAUGAUGCAAAUUCCAUGUCACUAGAGUUUAGUUUUCUUAAGGAUCUCAUUGAGAUUUUAGAGAGCAAAAGUAGCCUCAUUAAAGAGGCAGGAGCUUGCAAUGUCUCCAAUCAAAUUGAUAAUUUUCGUUGAUAAUGGGUUUCAAUUCAGUGUAUAGGAGCUUGCAAGAUACAUUCCUCUAAAAAAGGAUUAGGAGGCACAUAUGAAAGGGACGUGACAUUUGCUACUGCCCUUGAAAAUUUUGGAAGUGACCAUAAUGAUUUUCAUUUUGUUGCUUUAGGAGAUAAAUUUCAUAUU